This 460-nucleotide ribosomal RNA is filed under the name uncultured bacterium. Its description in RNAcentral is "partial 16S ribosomal RNA". It matches the Rfam family "Bacterial small subunit ribosomal RNA", at positions 338 to 795 of the family's 1533-position model. The record is from RNAcentral.
CCUACGGGAGGCUGCAGUGAGGAAUAUUGGUCAAUGGGCGAGAGCCUGAACCAGCCAAGUCGCGUGAAGGAUGACGGCCCUACGGGUUGUAAACUUCUUUUGUCAGGGAGCAAUAGGGUCCACUCGUGGGCUUAUCGAGAGUACCUGAAGAAAAAGCAUCGGCUAACUCCGUGCCAGCAGCCGCGGUAAUACGGAGGAUGCGAGCGUUAUCCGGAUUUGUUGGGUUUAAAGGGUGCGUAGGCGGAAUAUCAAGUCAGCGGUAAAAAUUCGGGGCUAAACCCCGUCGUGCCGUUGAAACUGAUGUUCUUGAGUGGACGAGAAGUAUGCGGAAUGCGUGGUGUAGCGGUGAAAUGCAUAGAUAUCACGCAGAACUCAGAUUGCGAAGGCAGAAUACCGGCGCCCAACUGACGCUGAAGCACGAAAGCGUGGGUAUCGAACAGGAUUAGAUACCCGAGUAGUC